Cebus imitator (Panamanian white-faced capuchin) is the source of this 101-nucleotide long non-coding RNA. RefSeq lists it as uncharacterized. Lineage: Eukaryota; Metazoa; Chordata; Mammalia; Primates; Cebidae. The transcript is spliced from 3 exons. The record is from RefSeq and is a predicted model, not a curated record.
AACAUGGCUGAAUCUGGAAGACAUUACACUAAGUGAAAGAACCCAAACACAGGAAUAUAAACACUGCAUGAUCUUGCUGGUAUAUAAAAUCAAAAAUUGUC